RNAcentral lists this ribosomal RNA (472 nucleotides) under Trachystoma petardi (pinkeye mullet). Its description in RNAcentral is "partial 12S ribosomal RNA". It matches the Rfam family "Bacterial small subunit ribosomal RNA", at positions 864 to 1522 of the family's 1533-position model. The record is from RNAcentral. Lineage: Eukaryota; Metazoa; Chordata; Actinopteri; Mugiliformes; Mugilidae.
CUUAUCCGCCCGGGGAUUACGAGCCGCGGCUUAAAACCCAAAGGACUUGGCGGUGCUUAAGACCCACCUAGAGGAGCCUGUUCUAUAACCGAUAAUCCUCGUUUAACCUCACCCUCUUUUGCUCCCUUUCCGCCUAUAUACCGCCGUCGUCAGCUUACCCUUUGAGGGAUUAAUAGUAAGCAUAAAUGGCAUUGCCCAAAACGUCAGGUCGAGGUGCAGCGUAUGAGAGGGGAAGAAAUGGGCUACAUUUCCUAAUCAGGAAACUACGAAAGAUUUGAUUGAAACAUUGAUUCAGAAGGAGGAUUUAGCAGUAAAUGAAAAGCAAUGCGCUUCAUUGAAGCCGGCUCUAAAGCAUGCACACACCGCCCGUCACUCUCCCUAUGAAACAGUAUUUCUUAUACCUAAUUACCUAACAAACAAAUGAGGGGAGGGAAGUCGUAACAUGGUAAGUGUACCGGAAGGUGCGCUUGGA